RNAcentral lists this ribosomal RNA (433 nucleotides) under uncultured bacterium. RNAcentral's name for it is "partial 16S ribosomal RNA". It matches the Rfam family "Bacterial small subunit ribosomal RNA", at positions 29 to 507 of the family's 1533-position model. The record is from RNAcentral.
AGCGAACGCUGGCGGCAGGCCUAACACAUGCAAGUCGAACGAACUCUUCGGAGUUAGUGGCGGACGGGUGAGUAACACGUGGGAAUGUGCCCUUUGGUACGGAAUAACUCAGGGAAACUUGAGCUAAUACCGUAUGUGCCCUUCGGGGGAAAGAUUUAUCGCCAUUGGAGCGGCCCGCGUCUGAUUAGCUAGUUGGUGAGGUAAAGGCUCACCAAGGCUACGAUCAGUAGCUGGUCUGAGAGGAUGAUCAGCCACAUUGGGACUGAGACACGGCCCAAACUCCUACGGGAGGCAGCAGUGGGGAAUCUUGCGCAAUGGGCGAAAGCCUGACGCAGCCAUGCCGCGUGAAUGAUGAAGGUCUUAGGAUUGUAAAAUUCUUUCACCGGGGACGAUAAUGACGGUACCCGGAGAAGAAGCCCCGGCUAACUUCGUG